GUGAAUCAUCAAAUCUUUGAACGCAAAUUGCACUUUCUGGUAUUCCGGAAAGUAUGCCUGUUUGAGGGUCAGUUAAAUAAAAAUCGGUGUUGUUGCUGCUUGUCGUUGAGACGCUGCGGAAUUUAGUUGUCUUACCUUCGAUUACGAGACUUAAAAUUUUGCAUGAUUUUCGGACGUAUUUAAAUUUCUUACGUACGUUUGAGAUAUAUAAUACUUUAUUAGGUUCUGUCAUCCUCAUGAUACGCAC
RNAcentral lists this unclassified non-coding RNA (247 nucleotides) under Glomus sp. RNAcentral's name for it is "partial contains 5.8S ribosomal RNA and internal transcribed spacer 2". The stretch from base 1 to 71 matches the Rfam family "5.8S ribosomal RNA", at positions 84 to 154 of the family's 154-position model. Lineage: Eukaryota; Fungi; Glomeromycota; Glomeromycetes; Glomerales; Glomeraceae. The record is from RNAcentral.